Molecule: ribosomal RNA, 392 nt
Filed under: uncultured bacterium
Lineage: Bacteria
Description: bacterial SSU rRNA
Rfam family: Bacterial small subunit ribosomal RNA
Source: RNAcentral
AUUGAACGCUGGCGGAAUGCUUUACACAUGCAAGUCGAACGGCAGCACGGGGCAACCUGGUGGCGAGUGGCGAACGGGUGAGUAAUACAUCGGAACGUGCCCAAUCGUGGGGGAUAACGUAGCGAAAGUUACGCUAAUACCGCAUACGAUCUACGGAUGAAAGCGGGGGAUCGCAAGACCUCGCGCGAAUGGAGCGGCCGAUGUCAGAUUAGGUAGUUGGUGGGGUAAAGGCUCACCAAGCCGACGAUCUGUAGCUGGUCUGAGAGGACGACCAGCCACACUGGGACUGAGACACGGCCCAGACUCCUACGGGAGGCAGCAGUGGGGAAUUUUGGACAAUGGGCGCAAGCCUGAUCCAGCCAUUCCGCGUGCAGGAUGAAGGCCUUCGGGUU